AUACCUUUCUCGGCCUUUUGGCUAAGAUCAAGUGUAGUAUCUGUUCUUAUCAGUUUAAUAUCUGAUAUGUGGGUCAUGUGCCCACAAUGAUAUUAAAUUUAUUUUUUGUGGGGGAGGGCUCACCAUAGUGGCUUGCCACUGGGGCCCUCAGGUGUCGCCCAGUGCGUUGCAUUAUUGCCUGGGCAGGCGCACCCCAA
This 197-nucleotide small nuclear RNA is filed under the name Triticum aestivum (bread wheat). RNAcentral describes it as "snRNA U2". It matches the Rfam family "U2 spliceosomal RNA". Rfam says of the family: U2 is a small nuclear RNA (snRNA) component of the spliceosome (involved in pre-mRNA splicing). Complementary binding between U2 snRNA (in an area lying towards the 5' end but 3' to hairpin I) and the branchpoint sequence (BPS) of the intron results the bulging out of an unpaired adenosine, on the BPS, which initiates a nucleophilic attack at the intronic 5' splice site, thus starting the first of two transesterification reactions that mediate splicing. Lineage: Eukaryota; Viridiplantae; Streptophyta; Magnoliopsida; Poales; Poaceae. The record is from Rfam by way of RNAcentral.